This is a long non-coding RNA of Numida meleagris (helmeted guineafowl), 2654 nucleotides long. RefSeq lists it as uncharacterized. The transcript is spliced from 5 exons. NCBI's taxonomy places the organism in Eukaryota, Metazoa, Chordata, Aves, Galliformes, Numididae. The record is from RefSeq and is a predicted model, not a curated record.
GGAGAUCCCUGUGUAUGUGAGGCCUUCUGAAGGUAACGGAAGGCAAAAACACCUAAGAGAAAAGGACUCUCCUUGUUGCUUCCUCAGCAUGGUUUUCAACAACCAUUUACCUGGAUUUUGCAGAAUGUUGUCCAUGUGCAUGCUGCUCUGAGGGAUUGCAAUGCAAGGUCUCACCGAUGAAGGAUUUGAACUUCUGAAAUCUGCAUUCCACUUCCUGAGCUACGUACUAGCUGUUUGUGUUGUCCAGGGAAUCCACUGAGUUUUCUGUUGCUGCUUCUCAGUUAAUCCCUGUGCCAGGAAAGGGAUGGAAUCCAAACCCAAGAGAACUAGCUGAAAAAGGUCAAGGUAACUUUAUUGCUGUUGGCUGGGCAGCACCUGGGGGUACUAUGAUGCAGAGAACAUCACAUCCAGAACAUCCUAACUCAGCAGUUACAGAGCACUGUGGAGAUAUGGAUCAAUCUGCCUGGACAGAAGGCCAAACCGAUGCUUGGUGUUUCAGAAGCAAAUGCUGCUGGAAGUCCCUGUUUUAUUGACCAUUGAAAUAGUCAUCAAAUGUGGAAUGUGGUGAGUGGGAAUGGCUGUCUACACAUUGCAUGGAGUUGUCUUCUUGAGGAAUAUGAUAUAUAGAUGCAGAUCUCUUCACAGUGGGGAGAGAAAAGGAUCUGCCUAUCUCUUGGCCUGGCUGAUGGCAUGAAAAAAGGAGAUAUGCAAAAUGUGAACGUUUGCAUUUCUCCAUUAGAAUUGAGAAUGUUGGUGUGAAUCUUUUUGAAGUUAUUUGUUUGGAAUUUUCUUAAAUAACAUUUGGGGAAAAUUUCAAACAUUUUGAGACAUUUAAAAAACCAAAGUAACAAACAAAAUGAACAACAACAACAAGAACAGCAACAAAAACCUAAACAACACUCAGAACUUAAAUAGAAGUUAAAAUCAAAACAAGAAACAAAACUUUGGGGUUACCUUGUGGUUACCUAAUUGUGCAUCUGCAUCUAGAAAGGAUAUUUUUUGGUUGUUUUUUUUUGAUAGGAGGUUUAUAAUUUUGCUCACAAGUGCAUUUUUGAUAUAGGCACAAGAGGAACUAAAAAAAAAAAAUUGUCCAAACAUCAUAUACAGGAUUACUUUCAGUAAAAAAUUGUAAUAGGCUAUGCUGCUUUCUCAAAACCUAAAGAUUUAUUGAUUUUUUUAGGCUUUUUUUUUUGUUAAUGUCUUUGGCUUGAUGAUUAUUUUAAAUGAGAGGUCCAGGUAAUUGAAACCGUGUUUUGUAAAAUGUUCGGAGUUUUAUUUUACUUUUCAAGGUUAAGCAAUUUUUUUAAUAUUUAAAUAUUGAUAAGAAAUGGAAUAGUCCCACUGGGAUAGGUGCAACUAUUUAGAUCAAGGACUGAUUGAGAGUGUUAGUAUGUUUUUGAAGCAAAGCGUAUUAAUGUUGGUUGCUCUUUUGUGGUAGUAAUGCUUGAUAAACAAUUUGGCUUUGUUCUUAAAGCCUUCAGCACUGCUGGUCUCUAGUCUGGCUGAGGAAUUCAGAAAGUACUACAAAACAAAUAAGAAAUAACAAAAAAGCUUGAGGGAACAAUCUUCAUGGUAUUAGUUAACUUAGCUUAAUUAACUCACUGUGACAAAAUAUGCUUGAAGAGGAGAGAGACUGAAUAUUGCCUGAAUGCUGAAAAUUCUGCCAUUUGUAGCUGAGGGGUUUGGAGUGUUCAAUAAAGAAGUAACCUACUGUAGUUAGAAUUGUGGACAGCACACUGAAUUAUGGUAAAGUGAUUGCUCACCUAAGGCAGAAAUUGCAUAUGUGGUGAUGCAUGGGGCAGUUCCAGUAGUGGAAUCACUUUUAUGGGCUCAUUAUUGAUACCAUGUACGGGAGCAGCCACAAAGCACCAGCACUGAACCUGGUAUGUUCUCAUAAAACACAUGAAUGAGCAAAAGGAGAGGGACGGAGGCAGAAAAGGACCAUUAGCUGUGCUGGACUUUUGGUGGUAAAACUAUAGUGAUAGAUGCAUAUGGCUCUUCUUUGCUCUGGUGUGAGGAGAAUGUACAUUCUGGAAGUGCACUGGUGUGGCGAUAAGUCUGUUAACUCAAAGAAAAACCACCCAGAAGAGAGCCGUGAUUCAAUAUACUCUGCUGGUGUUGUCCAUUCUCUCCCAAAAGCCUCAUCUUCUACUUCGCUGCCUUUGUUCACGAGGCUAUUAAAAAAAAAAAAGAAAAAUCAAUACAUAAUUUAUCUUCUUACAUACGGCGGAGUUCAAGAAAAUGAAAGAAGCGGGUAACAGCUGAAGGAAAAAUGCAGUGCUUUUGAUAUUGUAAGGAAAAAACAGUUUUUAUAGGAGAAAUCAUAAUGUGCUUUUGCACAUGUUGCUUGCAUAUGAUAGCUGGAUUUAUGCUUGGUACCGCUUUGCAGACGCUUCAGGAAAAAAAAUACAGGAACAGAUGCUCGCUACUAGGAGUGGGAGGUGAUAACACUAACAUUCUUCUAAUCAAGAGCACAAGCCUUAGAGUAUUGAUCCAGAAUGCAAAAAGCACAGAUUCAGGUCUUCCUCCGUCUGAAGGGGCUAUAAAACUUUUGUUUCUUCUCCCAAGGAAAAAUGGAUUAACUGAUCUCCAGAGGCAAGGCUGUAACGUGUUUUCAAAUUCUAUUGACAUUGUUUCAAUGCAUAAACAUAUUU